AGAGUUUGAUCCUGGCUCAGAUUGAACGCUGGCGGUAUGCUUAACACAUGCAAGUCGAACGGAAACGGAACUAGCUUGCUAGUAGACGUCGAGUGGCGGACGGGUGAGUAACGCGUAGGAAUCUGCCUGAUAGUGGGGGAUAGCCCGAAGAAAUUCGGAUUAAUACCGCAUAAUCUAUUCGUAGUAAAGUGAGGGACUUUCGAGCCUCACGCUAUCAGAUGAGCCUGCGUAAGAUUAGCUUGUUGGUAGGGUAAAAGCCUACCAAGGCAACGAUCUUUAGCUGGUCUGAGAGGAUGAUCAGCCACAUCGGGACUGAGACACGGCCCGAACUCCUACGGGAGGCAGCAGUGGGGAAUAUUGGACAAUGGGGGCAACCCUGAUCCAGCUACGCCGCGUGUGUGAUGAAGGCCUUAGGGUUGUAAAGCACUGUUGUAGGGGAAGAAGGUUAGUUUACUAACUUGACGGUACCCUAUGUAGAAAGCACCGGCUAACUCCGUGCCAGCAGCCGCGGUAAUACGGAGGGUGCAAGCGUUGCUCGGAAUUACUGGGCGUAAAGGGUGCGUAGGCGGUCCUUUAAGUCAGAUGUGAAAGCCCAGGGCUCAACCCUGGAACUGCAUCUGAAACUGGAGGACUUGAGUGUGAGAGAGGAAAGCAGAAUUCCUGGUGUAGAGGUGAAAUUCGUUGAUAUCAGGAGGAAUACCAGCGGCGAAGGCGGCUUUCUGGCUCACAACUGACGCUCAUGCACGAAAGUGUGGGUAGCAAACAGGAUUAGAUACCCUGGUAGUCCACACCGUAAACGAUGAAUGCUAGAUAUACGAUUAAUUUGCAUAUUGUGUGUCGCAGCUAACGCAUUAAGCAUUCCGCCUGGGGAGUACGGUCGCAAGAUUAAAACUCAAAGGAAUUGACGGGGGCCCGCACAAGCGGUGGAGUAUGUGGUUUAAUUCGACGCAACGCGCAGAACCUUACCCAGUCUUGACAUCCUUUGCUCGCCAUAGAGAUAUGGUUUUCCCCUUCACGGGGGACAGAGUGACAGGUGCUGCAUGGCUGUCGUCAGCUCGUGUCGUGAGAUGUUCGGUUAAGUCCGGUAACGAGCGCAACCCCUAUCCUUAGUUGCCAAUUAUGGAACUCUAGGGAGACUCCCGGUGUUAAACCGGAGGAAGAUGGGGAUGACGUCAAGUCCUCAUGGCCCUUACGACUGGGGCUACACACGUACUACAAUGGCAUCUACAAAGAGCAGCGAAAUCGCGAGAUCAAGCAAAUCUCAAAAAAGAUGCCUCAGUUCGGAUUGGAGUCUGCAACUCGACUCCAUGAAGUUGGAAUCGCUAGUAAUCGUGGAUCAGCAUGCCACGGUGAAUACGUUCCCGGGCCUUGUACACACCGCCCGUCACACCACGAAAGUUGAAUUGACCCGAAGUCGUGUGCCUAACCUUCUUUAUUGAUGGAGGGAAGCGCCUACGGUUGAUUCGAUGAUUGGGGUGAAGUCGUAACAAGGUAACC
This 1497-nucleotide ribosomal RNA is filed under the name uncultured bacterium. RNAcentral's name for it is "bacterial SSU rRNA". It matches the Rfam family "Bacterial small subunit ribosomal RNA". The record is from RNAcentral.